ACCCCAAAGAGCAGCAGAAGGAAGAGCAGGACGAAUACAAUGAACAAAAGAACUGAAGAGCUCUCCAGCAUCUGGAAUGAAAGAGGAAAAACAGCCUAGGUUUAAGGUGGCACAGGAGAGAGCUAUUUUUUGUGGCAUCUGAACAUAAAGCUCACCAGAUGGGAUGCAUGUCACCCUGUAUGGCUCAAGCAAUAAAUCCUGUCAAAGCUGUUUACUCUGAUGGAUUUCAAACAAGACCGUAUACAGGAAGGCACUCUUAUUUCCACACAAGAGUUACAGCAUAGAAGACCUGCUUGCUAAAAAUGGUGAACAGCUUCUACCUGUGAUUGUGUCAACGUUCCACCCACCUGAAGUUCAGCGGAACCAUUGCUGCAACAGGAACUACAAGAAGAUGCUCAAAAGUUUUGCCUAAAUUGCCAGAGACCAAAAGUGCAGGGGUCAUAUGAUUAG
This is a long non-coding RNA of Dromaius novaehollandiae (emu), 450 nucleotides long. RefSeq lists it as uncharacterized. NCBI's taxonomy places the organism in Eukaryota, Metazoa, Chordata, Aves, Casuariiformes, Dromaiidae. The transcript is spliced from 3 exons. The record is from RefSeq and is a predicted model, not a curated record.